GAUGAACGCUGGCGGCGUGCCUAAUACAUGCAAGUCGAGCGAACAGACGAGGAGCUUGCUCCUCUGACGUUAGCGGCAGACGGGUGAGUAACACGUGGAUAACCUACCUAUAAGACUGGGAUAACUUCGGGAAACCGGAGCUAAUACCGGAUAAUAUAUUGAACCGCAUGGUUCAAUAGUGAAAGACGGUUUUGCUGUCACUUAUAGAUGGAUCCGCGCCGCAUUAGCUAGUUGGUAAGGUAACGGCUUACCAAGGCAACGAUGCGUAGCCGACCUGAGAGGGGGAUAGGCCACACUGGAACUGAGACACGGUCCAGACGCCUACGGGAGGCAGCAGUAGGGAAUCUUCGGCAAUGGGCGAAAGCCUGACGGAGCAACGGCGCGUGAGUGAUGAAGGUCUUCGGAUCGUAAAACUCUGUUAUUAGGGAAGAACAAAUGUGUAAGUAACUAUGCACGUCUUGACGGUACCUAAUCAGAAAGCCACGGCUAACUACGUG
Molecule: ribosomal RNA, 497 nt
Filed under: uncultured bacterium
Lineage: Bacteria
Description: partial 16S ribosomal RNA
Rfam family: Bacterial small subunit ribosomal RNA
Source: RNAcentral